UAAAACUGCGAAUGGCUCAUUAAAACAGAAAUAACUUAUACGAAAUAAUUACAAAUGGAUAACCUUUAUAACUGUAGGCUAAUACAUGCUUAAAGGCCUGACUUCGCGGAAAGGCUGCAUUUAUUAGAUUUAUACCAACGCCCUUACCGGCGCUGUGAUGACUCAUAAUAACUAAACGGAUCGCGGCCUCGAGCUGUGAUAAUUCGUUCAGGUUUCUGACCCAAUCAGCUUGAUGGUAGUGUAUUGGACCACCAUGGCAAUAAUGGGUAACGGGGGAUUAGGGUUCGAUUCCGGAGAGGGAGCUUGAGAAAUGGCUACCAGAUCGACAGAUUGCAGCAGGCGCUAGAAUUACCCAAUCCUGAUUCAGGGAGGUAGUGACCAGAUAUAUCA
Molecule: ribosomal RNA, 390 nt
Filed under: uncultured eukaryote
Lineage: Eukaryota
Description: bacterial SSU rRNA
Rfam family: Eukaryotic small subunit ribosomal RNA
Source: RNAcentral